RNAcentral lists this ribosomal RNA (134 nucleotides) under uncultured bacterium. RNAcentral describes it as "partial 16S ribosomal RNA". It matches the Rfam family "Bacterial small subunit ribosomal RNA", at positions 356 to 504 of the family's 1533-position model. The record is from RNAcentral.
AGGGAAUAUUGGGCAAUGGAGGCAACUCUGACCCAGCAACGCCGCGUGAACGAUGAAGGUCUUCGGAUUGUAAAGUUCUUUAAGUGGGGACGAAGAAAGUGACUGUACCCACAGAAUAAGCCUCGGCUAACUAC